This 396-nucleotide long non-coding RNA is filed under the name Androctonus crassicauda. Lineage: Eukaryota; Metazoa; Arthropoda; Arachnida; Scorpiones; Buthidae. The record is from RNAcentral.
GUGGGAACUAAGCCUAAGGCGUUGGAAUGCUACGCAGGAGGACCCAGGUUCACGUCCCGGGUCCGGCAGACCUGAGAAGUUUUUUCGGGAUUCCGGGCCUGGCUCGGCCAUCUCCGUUCUUCACCAUUCAACUUACUCCACGGGUGUGUAUGCAGCUCGUGGUUGGAACUGGCCUCGCCCUUAGUAAUCUCACUGAUUGGAAAGGGCGUAAAAAAAUAGGAGACGCAGAUUAGGCUAGGAGGGUGUGAAAGAUGUACUGAAACGGCUAGAGAUAACUAAAGUUAAAAAUGAAUGAGUGCUUAGAAAGUGUUGUAAAAGCGAAAUAACAGUAACCCUAUAAUUAAAUUAUUAAUUAAAAUAACACAAAAUUGGGAAAUUUCAUAAUACAGUAUUUAU